AACCUAGCACACCUGCGGUGUGUACCUGCGGAAGGAUCAUUAUCGAGUUGCAAAACUCCAACCCUUUGUGAACAUACCUCAGUCGUUGCUUCGGCGGUGGACGGCCUGUUUUUCGGAACGGCCGGAAGCCGCCGGAGGUUCCAAACUCGUAUUUUUUAGUGUAUCUCUGAGCCUGAAAACAAAUAAUCAAAACUUUCAACAACGGAUCU
This 209-nucleotide unclassified non-coding RNA is filed under the name soil metagenome. RNAcentral describes it as "partial contains 5.8S ribosomal RNA, internal transcribed spacer 2, and large subunit ribosomal RNA". The record is from RNAcentral.